CGAGUUGGACUACGGCAAACAUGAGCUGGUCCGCAAUAAUCUCCUCCAACCGCUGAUCGAGGAAUUCAGACAGCUGCCCUUCCAGGCGAUCACUGCACAGCUGGCGGGUUUGACAAAGACUCAGUGGACGGAGGAGGCCGCCAUGUUGUUCAGGAACCACGUGGAGGGGCGAGCGCUAGUGGCCCAGGUGGAGAGUGAACAGGAGGACGUCAAAGGUGAGCUCGGGGGACGCAGGUUGACGGUGUACCUGGUGGACACCACAGUGCAGGAGAGGGACCUGUGGAUUCACAGCAUCAUGGCCGACCUUGGCGGGGAGCUGUCCUCGGCAGCUUAGGGCACCGUCUCAUGCCUCUGACUCUCAGCAAGUAUUUUUUAGAACCACAACUUUUCUGUUUCCUGGUUCUUUCUUUUCUAAAACCUGCUGAGAAUGUUCAGUGAACUUUAAAAAAAGAAAAGUCACUCCUCUGCUCUUGUUUUUUUUCCAUGUUGUUGUUUUUUUUCCUCUCCAUCACGGACUUUAAAGGCGCGAGCGGGAAAGGGCAAGAGUUAUUUUUUUUCUGCAUCGCGUGACUGAAAAAGCGGAUUAAUCUCAAAAACUUUCAAAUGAAUGAGGAAGAUGGAAAACAUUCUUUACCGUCAAAUGUUGCUCCAUCUGAACUCAGGCCUAAUAUUCAGCAACGUUUCUUUUCAGGUAUCACAUCACGUGUGUGUUGCAUGGUUUGUGUGUUGUUAAGACUCUCAUGUUAUUACGAUUUCUGUUUGCUGUGCCUCUUGUAGACGUUGGUGUGGCUGAUUUUGCACUUAGUAGUGUGUAAAUAUGUUUUAAGAUGAACCUAAAAGGCCUUACUUUAAAAACGUUGGUCAUGUACAUACCUGUUAAAACACACGUGUUGCUCGGCUGGAGAAAAAAAAGUCAAGAUUUUAUUUGGUGUGAAAAGCUGUUCAGAAGGAUUUCAGGAUUUGUUCUGUUAAAAGGAGGGUCUAAUUUGAAAGCAUUACAUUGGUUUGUUUAUGUUCUGGCAGUGUGGGCUGCUAUUUGUCAAAUGUCAAGCGCCACACUGUCACGAUGAUGUAACUGAAGCAGAUGUGAUAAAAAAUGAUGUUUA
Molecule: non-coding RNA, 1106 nt
Organism: Labrus bergylta (ballan wrasse)
Lineage: Eukaryota; Metazoa; Chordata; Actinopteri; Labriformes; Labridae
Source: RefSeq, a predicted model, not a curated record